This is a non-coding RNA of Lentinula aff. detonsa, 81 nucleotides long. The record is from the annotation of a GenBank genome assembly. NCBI's taxonomy places the organism in Eukaryota, Fungi, Basidiomycota, Agaricomycetes, Agaricales, Omphalotaceae.
GGUCUAAUAGUGUAGAGGUUAUGACAUGGGAUUUUGACCUGGAUAUUUCCCAUAACCAAGGUUCGAGUCCUGGUUAGACGU